Felis catus (domestic cat) is the source of this 3400-nucleotide long non-coding RNA. RefSeq lists it as uncharacterized. The record is from RefSeq and is a predicted model, not a curated record. NCBI's taxonomy places the organism in Eukaryota, Metazoa, Chordata, Mammalia, Carnivora, Felidae. The transcript is spliced from 5 exons.
AUUGUACCUUUUCAGUGAGUGAGGGAGAGAGAGGGAAACAGACAGAGAGACAGAAAGACAGAGAGAAGAAAAAUAAAAGUCUACUUUCUAAAUAAAUCUGAUUAGAAAAUACCCAUUCCAGAAAUAGACCACAAAUGCGAAUAGGGAAACAAUAAGAGUUGGUAAAGUUACCAUUUAAAUAUGUAUAAUUUUCUGAAAAUGAAAAACAGGUUCUCUUUCUAAGAAGACUCUCCUAAUGGAAUUUCUCUCCAUUACCCAUUACCAUUCUCCCCAUUCUUUCUUUCCUGAGCUCUCCAGAAAUUACUUGGAAUGCUGUAAAUAUUCUCGUUGCUCGGAUAUCCCAACACUUGACUGAUCAUCAGAAUCUCCCAAACUUAAAGCCACUUGAGAUGGCUAUCUGCAAAACUCUAUGGAUUUAUGACAACCAUCAACAUCAUCAUCAUCAUCAUCACCACUAUUGUAAUAGUAAAGUCCAAGAGGAAGCCUAAGACAGAUUGUGAAUCCAGAUCCCAAGACUGGAUCUAUGGGACAUCCAGUCAAGGUCAUGAUGCACAUAAAUUGGAUGUAAUCCUAUAUUAUUCAUCUAUUCAAUCUAGCUAAGUCAUUUCUACGGAGUGUUAAGAGAGAUAUUGGCCCUUCAAAGCAGGACAGUCUUAUACACACCAGUCUUAUCCUCUUGGACCUCAUGGUGUCAUAAGGAAAGAAGACAGCUUCUGGAGGACAGUGGAUGCUGCUAUCUGAACUGUGACAAAGAAGAAGGCUUGACACUACCCUGAUAGUGAGCUGUACUCCUCCCCUACCAACUCGGUAGACUCCCAGGGUGGCCUAUUGUAGUCUCAAAGGUCUAAAGCUCAUGUAAGCCUGAGAAGAUGCUUGAUGGAUGUUCUAGCCCUUUCCAGGAGCAGGCCAUAUGUGUCAGCAAGCCCUCAGAUCAUUCCAGUCCCACCAUCUGACUGCAAUCGUGGGAGACCCAAAAUGAGAACACACUGCAAGGUGCGUUAAUUAACCUCCAGAAUCAUAAGAGAUAAUGACAAAACUAUUGUUCUUUUAAGUCAUCACCUUUUAGGAUGAUUGGCUAGGCAGUAAGAGUUAACUAAUGCAAAAGUUGAAUAGUAUUUGACUCAUAAGUUUUAUGUGGAUUAAAUGAGAUGACGCAUAUAAAGUAUUCAAGAUAAAGGAGUGGUUCUCAAAUUUAAGUGUCCAAUAUUACCACCUGGAGGCUUAUUACAAAAUGGAUUCCAGGGCACCUGGGUGGCUCAGUUGGUUAAGUGUCUGACUUUAGAUUUCACCUCAGGUUGGUGAGAUAGAUCCAGUCCAGCACGGGGCUCUGUGCUGGGUGUAAAGACUGCUUAAGAUUGUCUCUCUUCCUCUCCCACUGUCCCUCCCUCCCUCUCUCUCUCUCUCUCUCUUUCUUGCUCUCUCUCUCUUGGAAAAAAAAAAAAAAGGAUUCCAGGGCCCCUCUCCCUGAAUUGCUGAUUUAGUAAGUCUAGAGUGAAGCCUGAGCACUUGCAUAUCUAACAUGUUCUAGCUGAUGCCGAUGCUACUGGUCCAGGAACCACAUUUUGCAAACAUAGCAUAGAGCAAACACUCAAUUUAUGAAUUUUAUUCUUACUACCAUUUUUAGUACUUACUGUUUUUAUUUCAUGAAAAUAAUUACGCACCGUCAGUUCCUUUGAGUACAAAGGAAAUUUAUGCCCAGUUUCUCUCCAUAACUCACCGUCUAGUUUAUCUUAUCUAGCCCUAGUGUUGAUCACAAUGGCUCUCAUGUCAAGCAUUUAACAACUGCUUGUUAGAGAAAAUAUGAACAGAUCUCACAUUGAAGGGAGAUAGUGUAAGAAAAAGAGCGAGAGAGAUAAAGGAAAAGAGAGGGAAGUGGGGUAGGGAGGGCUGCAGAGGAGAGGGUACAACAAGGGUGGGAGAAAAUGUCAUGCUUCUUGCUCUAAAACUUUUUUUCUUUAUACUAUGACAAGUUUUCACAAUGUCCUUUUCUAAUUUUAGGAUGUGCUCCUCAAGAUAGAAGCACAUUGUCUCCAAAUAACUCUUUCAUUUCUUCAGUUCCUUUAAAAUUGAAUGGUAAAAUUAUGAAACAACUCUAUAACAGAACUAAUAAAAAAGCUACCAUUAGACUAUUUUAUUUCACAGCUACUGCUUAGUCUGAUAAAAAAAAUGCAUCAAUUAUUUAGAUGUUUGAAAACUCUUUUUAGCUUGGAAUGCUGGUACACUGGCAUUCAUCUUAUUGACAAGAUACUGUGGAUAUGAAUGUAUAAAAAUAUAACUGGACAGAGUAAGACUUGAGGAUUCCCUGAAGGCCUCUGGUUUCCAGAGAGCCCAUGUUUUAAGGGUACUUACAAGGUUGGUCACAUCUAUGAAACCUAUCAAUAUUUCAAAGUACAUAUUUAUGUUUGGCUCCCUCCUUUCCUAUCCCAUCUAGAGGUAUGUCAUGAGAACAAAUGACACAAUCUCUAUAAGAACUCUCUAAACCUGCAGAACUCUACUUAUAAACACUUAAAGUAAUUAAUACCUGUUUCCUUAUUUCUAACAGCUUGUAUGUCAUAUUGAGAAUUCAAAUGCUAGUUUACAUACUAUAGAACUUAUGUAUGAUGUGUUGAGGGUAUCUAGGUCUCAUCAAUUCAUAAAUGCUUAAGGAAAAUCACAAAAGGAGAAAAUGUAGCCCUUGCCCUAAUGGAAGACACAAUUUUGAGAGAAACACAACAUCUGUAAAUGAGACAAGCUUUGCCUUUUUUAAACUGACAUGGGAUCAUGUUAUUUUCCUGCUAAAAGUCUUUUGUCUUUGUGAUACCACUUUUAGGAAAAAGCAGAAAGUUUGCAGAAUUAUUGGCAAAGCCCAAUGAUCUAGCUCAUCUUCCAUCUCUCCCUUUUUAAGUUUAUUUAUUUAUUUUGAGAGAGAGGGAAAGAGAGAAUUCCAAGCAGGUUCCAUGCUGUCAACAUAGAGCCCAAAGUGGGGCUCCAUCUCAUGAGCCGUGAGAUAAUGACCUGAGCUGACAGGGAGCGGGACACUCAACCCCCUGAGCCAUCCAGGUGCCCUCCUCUUUCCAUCUCUAGCCAGUCUCAAUUUUCUCAUGUCUUCCAUGUACACACAGUACUCCAGCCCCUUGGACUUGGCAGCCAUUCUAGCACUCACCAUUCCCUUUCACAUUACCAUGUUUUUGCACUCAUGGUUUCCUUUUCCUGGAAUAUAUCCACUAUUGGUGUUUAUACAGUGUCCAAUACAAAGUAAUCAUACCAUAGAAAGAAUUUCUAGAAUUAUCAAUUAAUACUGCCUCUACUAUGUUAUUUUAACUAUUGCCUAUGCCAAUAGACUGCAAGGUGAAUGCCGAAGUUUGUGCCAACCUCUCCUUUGUAUCACCCCACAAAUCCUGGUGGAAUUCCUAGUUAAUUA